RNAcentral lists this ribosomal RNA (476 nucleotides) under uncultured bacterium. RNAcentral describes it as "SSU rRNA". It matches the Rfam family "Bacterial small subunit ribosomal RNA", at positions 26 to 521 of the family's 1533-position model. The record is from RNAcentral.
AGGAUGAACGCUGGCGGCGUGCCUAACACAUGCAAGUCGAACGUCCUGUCUCGCAAGAGGCAGGGAGUGGCGGACGGGUGAGUACCACGUGGGUCAUCUACCGUGAGGUGAGGAAUACCGGCGAGAAAUCGCCGACAAGACCGCAUAGGCUCGAUGCAAGUCGAGCAAAGCUCUUUCGAGAGAGGGAGCGCCACACGAGGAGCCUGCGCCCGAUUAGCUAGCUGGUGGAGUAACGGUUCACCAGGGCGACGAUCGGUAGCUGGUCUGAGAGGACGAUCAGCCACACUGGGAUUGAGAACGGCCCAGACUCCUACGGGGGGCAACAGUGAGGAAUUUUCGUCAAUGGGGGCAACCCUGAACGAGCAACGCCGCGUGCAGGAAGAAGGUUUUCGGAUCGUAAACUGCUUUUCGUCGGGAAGAGAAUGGACGGUACCCGAGGAAUCAGCCCCGGCUAACUACGUGCCAGCAGCCGCGGU